This 436-nucleotide long non-coding RNA is filed under the name Homo sapiens (human). RNAcentral describes it as "HSALNT0090070". The record is from RNAcentral. Lineage: Eukaryota; Metazoa; Chordata; Mammalia; Primates; Hominidae.
UCAGAAAAAAAAAAAAAAAAGAAUAUUAAAUUCCAUUACUAUCUAUUUACUGGUUCAGUGAUUGUGAGCUGAGGUGAUAUUAAAAUUUCUAAUCUUCCCUUGUGUUUGUCUUUCUCUGGGGCCAGUUUUAUGUACAUAGUCACUUGUGCAUAUAAUUCCUAGCUGAUUCAGUAAAUAUGUACAACUGAAGACUGAACCCUCAGAAACUGACAUGAACCUGCCUUUAAUAACAGUCUAAGACACUGAUAACAGUCUAAGACAUCUGCAAUCUUGAGGGCCAGAGACACCAAAGAUCCAGGUGUAACUCAAGAAACAUCUUUAUCCUGAGAUCUAGAGAUGUUUAGAAAACCUAACUGGUAGAUAAUUCUGCCAGUAGACUCAACCAUGUCAGGCCUUGGAUCCUGCAGAUGAUGCGUGGGCACUUGAAGAGAGCAGG